This 68-nucleotide transfer RNA is filed under the name Heterocephalus glaber (naked mole-rat). It matches the Rfam family "tRNA". From Rfam's summary of the family: Transfer RNA (tRNA) molecules are approximately 80 nucleotides in length. Their secondary structure includes four short double-helical elements and three loops (D, anti-codon, and T loops). Lineage: Eukaryota; Metazoa; Chordata; Mammalia; Rodentia; Bathyergidae. The record is from Rfam by way of RNAcentral.
AGAGAUGUAGCUCAGUGGUAGAGUGCUUAGCUUGUGCAAGGACCUAGGUUAAAUCCCUAGCUCCACUA